RNAcentral lists this ribosomal RNA (1076 nucleotides) under Akanthomyces dipterigenus. Its description in RNAcentral is "SSU rRNA". It matches the Rfam family "Eukaryotic small subunit ribosomal RNA", at positions 50 to 1140 of the family's 1831-position model. The record is from RNAcentral. Lineage: Eukaryota; Fungi; Ascomycota; Sordariomycetes; Hypocreales; Cordycipitaceae.
CAUGCAUGUCUAAGUAUAAGCAAUUAUACAGCGAAACUGCGAAUGGCUCAUUAUAUAAGUUAUCGUUUAUUUGAUAGUACCUUACUACUUGGAUAACCGUGGUAAUUCUAGAGCUAAUACAUGCUAAAAAUCCCGACUCCGGAAGGGAUGUAUUUAUUAGAUUAAAAACCAAUGCCCUCUGGGCUCCUUGGUGAUUCAUAAUAACUUUUCGAAUCGCAUGGCCUUGCGCCGGCGAUGGUUCAUUCAAAUUUCUUCCCUAUCAACUUUCGAUGUUUGGGUAUUGGCCAAACAUGGUCGCAACGGGUAACGGAGGGUUAGGGCUCGACCCCGGAGAAGGAGCCUGAGAAACGGCUACUACAUCCAAGGAAGGCAGCAGGCGCGCAAAUUACCCAAUCCCGAUUCGGGGAGGUAGUGACAAUAAAUACUGAUACAGGGCUCUUUUGGGUCUUGUAAUUGGAAUGAGUACAAUUUAAAUCCCUUAACGAGGAACAAUUGGAGGGCAAGUCUGGUGCCAGCAGCCGCGGUAAUUCCAGCUCCAAUAGCGUAUAUUAAAGUUGUUGUGGUUAAAAAGCUCGUAGUUGAACCUUGGGCCUGGCUGGCCGGUCCGCCUCACCGCGUGCACUGGUCCGGCCGGGCCUUUCCCUCUGUGGAACCCCAUGCCCUUCACUGGGUGUGGCGGGGAAACAGGACUUUUACUUUGAAAAAAUUAGAGUGCUCCAGGCAGGCCUAUGCUCGAAUACAUUAGCAUGGAAUAAUGAAAUAGGACGUGUGGUUCUAUUUUGUUGGUUUCUAGGACCGCCGUAAUGAUUAAUAGGGACAGUCGGGGGCAUCAGUAUUCAAUUGUCAGAGGUGAAAUUCUUGGAUUUAUUGAAGACUAACUACUGCGAAAGCAUUUGCCAAGGAUGUUUUCAUUAAUCAGGAACGAAAGUUAGGGGAUCGAAGACGAUCAGAUACCGUCGUAGUCUUAACCAUAAACUAUGCCGACUAGGGAUCGGACGAUGUUAUUUUUUGACGCGUUCGGCACCUUACGAGAAAUCAAAGUGCUUGGGCUCCAGGGGGAGUAUGGUCGCAGGUGA